CAGCAGCCGCGGUAAUACGUAGGGUGCGAGCGUUGUCCGGAUUUAUUGGGCGUAAAGGGCUCGUAGGUGGUUGAUCGCGUCGGAAGUGUAAUCUUGGGGCUUAACCCUGAGCGUGCUUUCGAUACGGGUUGACUUGAGGAAGGUAGGGGAGAAUGGAAUUCCUGGUGGAGCGGUGGAAUGCGCAGAUAUCAGGAGGAACACCAGUGGCGAAGGCGGUUCUCUGGGCCUUUCCUGACGCUGAGGAGCGAAAGCGUGGGGAGCGAACAGGCUUAGACACCCUGGUAGUCCACGCUGUAAACGGUGGGUACUAGGUGUGGGGUCCAUUCCACGGGUUCCGUGCCGUAGCUAACGCUUUAAGUACCCCGCCUGGGGAGUACGGCCGCAAGGCUAAAACUCAAAGAAAUUGACGG
Molecule: ribosomal RNA, 410 nt
Filed under: uncultured rumen bacterium
Lineage: Bacteria
Description: bacterial SSU rRNA
Rfam family: Bacterial small subunit ribosomal RNA
Source: RNAcentral